Molecule: ribosomal RNA, 253 nt
Filed under: uncultured bacterium
Lineage: Bacteria
Description: partial 16S ribosomal RNA
Rfam family: Bacterial small subunit ribosomal RNA
Source: RNAcentral
UACGAAGGGUGCAAACGUUGCUCGGAAUCAUUGGGCGUAAAGCGCACGUAGGCGGCUUUGCAAGUCUGACGUGAAAUCCCUCAGCUCAACUGAGGAAGUGCAUCGGAAACUGCAAGGCUUGAGUACUGAAGAGGAUCGCGGAAUUCCCGGUGUAGAGGUGAAAUGCGCAGAUAUCAGGAAGAACACCCGUGGCGAAGGCGGCUCUCUGGGACGGUACUGACGCUGAGACGCGAAAGCGUGGGGAGCGAACAGG